UGCUUUUUGUUUUUUAAUAAAAAGUUUGUUUUGCUCGGUGAUUUUUAACAGCCGCGGUACUUUGACCGUGCAAAGGUAGCAUAAUCACUUGCCUGGUAAUUGGGGGCUGGAAUGAAUGAAUAAACAAAGGCUUAGCUUUAUUUUUUAGAUUAAAGGAAUUUUCUUUUUUAGUGAAGAAGCUAAAAUAUGUAAAAGGGACAAGAAGACCCUUUUGAGCUUUAUUAUAUUUUUCUUUUUUAUGAUUCUUUAGUUUGGUUGGGGCGACCAAGGAAAUAGAUCUUCCUUAUUAAUUUUGAUCCGUUUAUAACGAUUAAAAGAAUAAGUUACCAAAGGGAUAACAGCGUAAUUUUUUUUGAGAGUUCUUAUUAAAUAAAGUGAUUGCGACCUCAAUGU
This 393-nucleotide ribosomal RNA is filed under the name Ototyphlonemertes macintoshi. RNAcentral describes it as "partial 16S ribosomal RNA". It matches the Rfam family "Bacterial large subunit ribosomal RNA", at positions 1830 to 2532 of the family's 2925-position model. Lineage: Eukaryota; Metazoa; Nemertea; Enopla; Monostilifera; Ototyphlonemertidae. The record is from RNAcentral.